Molecule: long non-coding RNA, 2828 nt
Filed under: Mytilus galloprovincialis (Mediterranean mussel)
Lineage: Eukaryota; Metazoa; Mollusca; Bivalvia; Mytilida; Mytilidae
Source: RNAcentral
CCCUGAUUGAUUUUUACAGGUAACAUAAUUAGAUAACACAUCUACCUAUGUUUUAUGACCCCAAAUAAAUGGCCAACAUCUCAAGAUUGAAUAUCCGAAUAAAUGUUCACCAUUGGAUGUUGACCAUGCAAGAGGGUGGACAUAACUAAGAGGAUGUCACAUGUUGUACUUUAUCAGGAUUUGUUCUCAUAAUGUUAAUAGGAUUAAAAGUAAAUAUGAUGAUAUCAAACAAACACUUAUGUUUAUAAAUAACCCACCUGCUGUAGUGGGUAUGUGUGAAAUAUUUUUAACUAAAAACACUACAGAUAAUGAAUUACAAAUAACUGGUUAUUUAUCUGAAAGGAAGAAAAAAAUGUUCAAGACAAAACAACAUUGAAAUAGGAGGUAUUGACACAAUGUGGUUUGAAGUAAAACCAGAUUAUGAAAAAAAUAACUUUUGCUAUGUUUUGUGUACAGACCUCCAAAGUCAACAAUAGACUGGGUUGAUGAUUUUGAAAAAGAACUAGGAAUGACAGUGACCAUUUAUUUAGAUAUAUUAUUAUUGAGUGAUUUUAAUAUGAAUUUUAAAGCACCAAGCAAACCUUCUAAAGAUGGUGAGUGUUUUAGAAUCGUUCGAUAUUCAACAAUUGAUUGAAGAUGCUACAAGGUUCACAAAGGAUUCUAGUACAUCGAUUGAUCUAGAUAGUGACCAUUAACAUAUUUUGUUUAACAAGGAAAGAAGUUAAUAAAGACGAAAAGAAUACACACAGUACAAUCACAUAAAGGAGUUAAAAUGACCAAAAUGAAUUUCUAUUAGACCUAUAAAGUACAAAUUCUUUAUAAAAUUGAAUUUGAAUCCUUCUGUCUGUCUUCAAUUAUGUUAUGAUAAGUUGAACAAAGUUUUAGAUAAUCAUGCUCCUGUUGAUGAAAAAAGAGUUAAACAGGAUAGGCAAUCUGAUUGGUAUAAUAGUGAAAUUAGUUAUGCUAGGAACAUGAGGGAUAAAUAUAAUGCACUUGGAUUGUGAAGUGAAUAUAUAUUUUAGAGAAAUAAAACUAAACAAAGAAUAGAGAACUAAAAAAAAAACAUUAUAAAAACAUGGUAAAAGAAUCUAAUGACUCAUAUUUUUUUUAUGGAAAUGCCUUCAUAGUCUAAACCCUAAGGUAAAACAUCCCCAAAUGAGUUAACUACAGAUGAUAACAACACAACGAAAAAUAAUAAAAAAAUCAAUAGCAGAUACUUUUAACAAUAUUUUGACUACCUGUGCCGAAAAAGUAAGUGAGCAAAGAGACAAUACAUCUGUUGACAAGGCGGAUUUCAAUAAUCUUAGCACAUUCAUUGAAAAUCAAUUAGUACAAGAAAAUCACGAGAAAUUUACCUUAACACCAAUAAAGAUAAAUGAGCUAUUUGAUGAGUUAACAAAACCUGAUGUAAAUAAAUCAUCGGGUCUGAUAACAAUGGACCCCAAAUCCUUAAAAUAAGUGCCCCAUAUAUUGCCUCUCCUCUCACAUAUAUAUUCAACAGAAUGAUAGAUACUGGUGUAUAUCCUUCAUUACUGAAAACUGCUAAGGUAAUACUAGUUUACAAAGAUGGUGACAAGGUUUUAGCAACAAAUUACAGACCCAUAUCUGCUCUUUUAUCUCUAUCAAAAGUAUUUGAAAGGCAUGUAUCAAAUAACAUGUACAAGUACUUGUCUAUAAAUUUAAACUUUUACAUCCUACACAAUCAGGUUUCAGGCCACAUUAUGCUUGUCAAAUGCACUUAUUGAUAUCAUUGACAAAUGGCUGCAAGAAAUGAAUGAUGGUAAUUUAAACCUUGCACUACUUUUGGACUUCAAAAAAGCAUUUGAUCUUGUAGAUCAUGAUAUUUUUUGCUUAAAGCUUGAUAUUUAUGGAUUCAGUGAAUCUGCAGUAGGUUUUUUCAUGUCAUACCUAAGUAAUAGAACACAGAAAGUAAACAUUUGCUAAAUUAAUUCUGAUAAAAAAGAUGUGAAAUUUAGUGUCCCCCAAGGAUCUUUACUGGGUCCUGUAUCAUUUGUCUUGUUUAUGAACGACUUUCCCCUUUGCAUUACGAAAUUGUAAAGCUGACUUGUAUGCUGAUGGUACUACUCUUCAUCAAUCCUUGAAAAACAUAGAAAAAUUUACAUGAUGAUGUACAAGAAGAUUUAUUCACAGUUGAAGAAUGGUGCAAAAUGAAUAAUAUGUUCAUCAACACUAAAAAAACAAAAUGUUAAGGUACUGGAACAAGUCAGAAGUUAUCAACUCUAUCUUUUCAACCAAAUUUAUCAAUGAAUUAAGAAACACUGCAAAAGUGAUCAUGUGAAAAAUUAUUAGGUGUUAAAAUUGACAGCACACUUAGCUGGACAAAUCAAAUUGAUCAAGUUUGUGCUAUCAUUUCAUCAAGAAUGUACCUUUUUCUAAAUUAAAGAAAUGUUUAGAUAUUAAUGCCAGGAAAGCAUGUUAUAAUGGAUAUAUUCUGCCGCUCAUCGAUUACUGCUGUAUGGUUUGGGGAGAAUGUAAAAAUGAAGGGAUAAUAAGAAUAUUAAAACUUUAAAAAAAGAGAAGCAAGAUUAAUUGUUGAUGCAGACCCUCUAUCCCCAUCAGCCCCUUAUUUAAAGAACUUGGAUGGAUGACAAUAGAAAACAGAAUAAAAUACCACAAAUAUUUACUGCUAUAUAAAUGUAUGCGGAAAGAAGCACCACAGUACCUACUUCAAAAGUUUCAACUGAUAUCUGUUAAUAAUCCUUAUGCUUAAGGGGUAUUACUGAAGGUAAUUCAAUAGUUCCUAAGCCAAAAACUGACCUGUUUUAAAAAAUCUUUUGCUUAUUCUGGAUCAGUUUUAUGGAACGGAC